Molecule: long non-coding RNA, 474 nt
Organism: Sapajus apella (tufted capuchin)
Lineage: Eukaryota; Metazoa; Chordata; Mammalia; Primates; Cebidae
Exons: 3
Source: RefSeq, a predicted model, not a curated record
CAGGAACUUGAAAAAAAAAAAAAGUAUUCAGGGUGUGGGCAUUUUUUUUUUUUAAGAGAGAAUUUGUGCGGAAAGGUAGACUAUUACCUAGAAAUUCAGAACACAUCCAGUCAGCUCAGUGGCACAGCAUGUUCUCAUUAACCAAUCUCUCUGCCAGCUUUUUUUAAAUUGUCAUUGCUAUUCUACCCUCUUUGUGUUUUAAAAGUCUUCAGAGGGAGACAUAUUUUUAAUGAUUUGCUUUUCUUUCCUAAGCUUUCCACAAAUUAAACUCUGUAUCCUGUUUGCUUUGCUAUGUUCAAACUUCUCAAGGAUUUUUACAAUGAGAAUCAAAAAGAUUCUUGCUUCAUGGAAAAUACCUUAGAGAUGCAUUUUCUAGGAAGGGUGGUGCAGACAUUUUUAAUAUUCUGUAUUUUAGUUCCUUUAACAGGAAAUGCAUUCAAGCCUGUAUUUUAAAUAUUAAAAUAACCAUUCUUU